AUUGAACGCUGGCGGCAGGCCUAACACAUGCAAGUCGAACGGUAACAGGAAGCAGCUUGCUGCUUUGCUGACGAGUGGCGGACGGGUGAGUAAUGUCUGGGAAACUGCCCGAUGGAGGGGGAUAACUACUGGAAACGGUAGCUAAUACCGCAUAACGUCGCAAGACCAAAGAGGGGGACCUUAGGGCCUCUUGCCAUCGGAUGUGCCCAGAUGGGAUUAGCUAGUAGGUGGGGUAACGGCUCACCUAGGCGACGAUCCCUAGCUGGUCUGAGAGGAUGACCAGCCACACUGGAACUGAGACACGGUCCAGACUCCUACGGGAGGCAGCAGUGGGGAAUAUUGCACAAUGGGCGCAAGCCUGAUGCAGCCAUGCCGCGUGUAUGAAGAAGGCCUUCGGGUUGUAAAGUACUUUCAGCGGGGAGGAAGGGAGUAAAGUUAAUACCUGUGCUCAUUGACGUUACCCGCAGAAGAAGCACCGGCUAACUCCGU
RNAcentral lists this ribosomal RNA (489 nucleotides) under uncultured bacterium. RNAcentral's name for it is "partial 16S ribosomal RNA". It matches the Rfam family "Bacterial small subunit ribosomal RNA", at positions 30 to 506 of the family's 1533-position model. The record is from RNAcentral.